RNAcentral lists this non-coding RNA (20 nucleotides) under Arabidopsis thaliana (thale cress). Lineage: Eukaryota; Viridiplantae; Streptophyta; Magnoliopsida; Brassicales; Brassicaceae. The record is from RNAcentral.
UGAGACCCUAUCCAUGUCCA